Panicum hallii is the source of this 798-nucleotide long non-coding RNA. RefSeq lists it as uncharacterized. NCBI's taxonomy places the organism in Eukaryota, Viridiplantae, Streptophyta, Magnoliopsida, Poales, Poaceae. The transcript is spliced from 5 exons. The record is from RefSeq and is a predicted model, not a curated record.
AGGGUGGACCCAUGUCCAGCCAGCUCCUAAACACACUCUCUCAUCUCUCUCUCCAUACCCAGACUCCCAGAGUAGCCGGCGGUGACUCUCGAUUCAAAUCCGGUGCAGCGCCGCCUCUACCUGCACCUGUUGCUUGCCGUCGAAGCCGCCCUAGCCAUCCCCAUGCCGUUGUUCGCCAUCCCCAGCCCGAGGCGGAAGGGUGGCCAUCGCGACGAGGAAGGGCCUCGCCUUCUGCAUGCUGUCGCAUCGCCCUCACUGGAAUGGUGGCGUUGGGCUGAUGCGGAGAGCGCUAUUCAAAACAUCGGGGCGCACUAGCGUCAUCCUCUCUCUAGGGUGACUCUCUUUACAGUGGGAGGUGCAGAUCGGAAGGAGAAGAGGCGAAAGAAGAUGGAGCUUAGUGGGGAGUGGAAAUCAGAGAGCCCUCAGGAGGGGUUGCACAAUAAGUCAUUCUGCUAGUCGAGCAAGAAGCAAAGCGUUAAAGCUACAGAGGUUCAAGGAUAGUUCCUUAAUCAGUUUCCAGCAUCGACCAUUAAACCUACUUGUGUGUUCACUGCUUCCUAAGAAAAGGCUUCAGCCUCAAAGGCACAUGGAUUUAUGAGGAAAAAAAGUUUCAGCUUCUGAAGAAAGGCACUUCCAGUAGCUCAUGUGCUUUUGUUCAUCUCAUUUGACCUGUCCAGUAGCUUUUACUGGUAUUUUCUGUAGAUACAGGCAGCUGCAGCAUGACUUUGUUUAGAGAAUUUGAACAGUAAUGGAUAUCUUUCCAUUCCAUUUUUCAUUAGGCAAUAACUUGUCUCUAGA